GCACCGGAUAGGCCGACGGGCCGAAGAGGCGGACACCCGACCGCCCUGCCGGUGCAUCUCAAUCGGGG
This 68-nucleotide small RNA is filed under the name Pseudorhodoferax sp. Leaf274. Its description in RNAcentral is "int-alpA RNA". It matches the Rfam family "int-alpA RNA". From Rfam's summary of the family: Acidobacteria (1 example), Planctomycetes (1 example), Proteobacteria. Environment (Lake Washington) Lineage: Bacteria; Pseudomonadati; Pseudomonadota; Betaproteobacteria; Burkholderiales; Comamonadaceae. The record is from Rfam by way of RNAcentral.